This 394-nucleotide ribosomal RNA is filed under the name uncultured bacterium. RNAcentral describes it as "bacterial SSU rRNA". It matches the Rfam family "Bacterial small subunit ribosomal RNA", at positions 917 to 1333 of the family's 1533-position model. The record is from RNAcentral.
GGGCCCGCACAAGCGGUGGAGCAUGUGGUUUAAUUCGAUGCAACGCGAAGAACCUUACCAAGCCUUGACAUCCUCGGAACUUUCCAGAAAUGGAUUGGUGCCUUCGGGAACCGAGUGACAGGUGCUGCAUGGCUGUCGUCAGCUCGUGUCGUGAGAUGUUCGGUUAAGUCCGGCAACGAGCGCAACCCACAUCCCUAGUUGCCAGCAGUUCGGCUGGGCACUCUAUGGAAACUGCCCGUGAUAAGCGGGAGGAAGGUGUGGAUGACGUCAAGUCCUCAUGGCCCUUACGGGUUGGGCUACACACGUGCUACAAUGGUGGUGACAAUGGGUUAAUCCCAAAAAGCCAUCUCAGUUCGGAUCGGAGUCUGCAACUCGACUCCGUGAAGCUGGAAUC